AAUAAGUGCAGCCAUGGUUUUCAGUGUCCAACUUUAAUUAUUCGUCUUAUUUGAAAAAUUUUAAAAAAAAUUAAAAACAUAAGUCACGAGUAAAGUACUAUUCAUGUUUUAUUAUCUUAUAACAACAAAAUUGCUAAUUAUAAAAAAAUUUUAAAUAAGACGGAUGAUCAAAGUUGAGCGCGAAAACUCAUGGCUGCACUUAUU
Molecule: microRNA precursor, 204 nt
Organism: Oryza sativa Japonica Group (Japanese rice)
Lineage: Eukaryota; Viridiplantae; Streptophyta; Magnoliopsida; Poales; Poaceae
Rfam family: MIR812 microRNA precursor family
Source: Rfam